GUAGCGCUAUUUGAGGGGAUUAUUGAUGGGGUGAGUAGGUUGAUGCCCCCAUCCAGAGUGAGAACAUUCAUUUGGUUUCUGCAAAGACACUAACUAAGACCACAAUAUUUGAGGCUCACUCUACAUAUGAACCAUUAUUAGCCCUAUUCCAGCACCUACAACAACUGCUUCCCUAGUACCACCUGUUCUCUGUUGGUUUUCCACUGCUAUAAUCACUAUUUCACAGGCUUACCUAAAGGGCAUAGUGCAGUGAUACACCAAAAUUAUUCCUUCCUUAAGCAUUAUAAGUAG
RNAcentral lists this long non-coding RNA (291 nucleotides) under Capsicum annuum. Its description in RNAcentral is "long non-coding RNA (CANN_LNC012503)". The record is from RNAcentral. Lineage: Eukaryota; Viridiplantae; Streptophyta; Magnoliopsida; Solanales; Solanaceae.